UGGCUAACUCCUACGGGAGGCAGCAGUGGGGAAUUUUGGACAAUUGGGGCAACCCUGAUCCAGCAAUGCCGCGUGAGUGAUGAAGGCCUUAGGGUUGUAAAGCUCUUUCACCCGGGAUGAUAAUGACAGUACCGGGAGAAUAAGCUCCGGCUAACUCCGUGCCAGCAGCCGCGGUAAUACGGAGGGAGCUAGCGUUAUUCGGAAUUACUGGGCGUAAAGCGCACGUAGGCGGCUUUGUAAGUUAGAGGUGAAAGCCUGGAGCUCAACUCCAGAAUUGCCUUUAAGACUGCAUCGCUUGAAUCCAGGAGAGGUGAGUGGAAUUCCGAGUGUAGAGGUGAAAUUCGUAGAUAUUCGGAAGAACACCAGUGGCGAAGGCGGCUCACUGGACUGGUAUUGACGCUGAGGUGCGAAAGCGUGGGGAGCAAACAGGAUUAGAUACCCUUGUAGUCCAGCUGG
Molecule: ribosomal RNA, 456 nt
Filed under: uncultured bacterium
Lineage: Bacteria
Description: bacterial SSU rRNA
Rfam family: Bacterial small subunit ribosomal RNA
Source: RNAcentral